RNAcentral lists this ribosomal RNA (465 nucleotides) under Vreelandella stevensii. RNAcentral's name for it is "partial 16S ribosomal RNA". It matches the Rfam family "Bacterial small subunit ribosomal RNA", at positions 338 to 795 of the family's 1533-position model. The record is from RNAcentral. Lineage: Bacteria; Pseudomonadati; Pseudomonadota; Gammaproteobacteria; Oceanospirillales; Halomonadaceae.
CCUACGGGAGGCAGCAGUGGGGAAUAUUGGACAAUGGGGGCAACCCUGAUCCAGCCAUGCCGCGUGUGUGAAGAAGGCCCUCGGGUUGUAAAGCACUUUCAGUGAGGAAGAACGCCUGGUGGUUAAUACCCAUCAGCAAAGACAUCACUCACAGAAGAAGCACCGGCUAACUCCGUGCCAGCAGCCGCGGUAAUACGGAGGGUGCGAGCGUUAAUCGGAAUUACUGGGCGUAAAGCGCGCGUAGGUGGCUUGAUAAGCCGGUUGUGAAAUCCCCGGGCUCAACCUGGGAACGGCAUCCGGAACUGUCAAGCUAGAGUGCAGGAGAGGAAGGUAGAAUUCCCGGUGUAGCGGUGAAAUGCGUAGAGAUCGGGAGGAAUACCAGUGGCGAAGGCGGCCUUCUGGACUGACACUGACACUGAGGUGCGAAAGCGUGGGUAGCAAACAGGAUUAGAUACCCUAGUAGUC